CGCUCUUCCCCUACAAUCUAUCCCUCCCCCUCCUCCUCAACACAGCUGCAGCUCGACUCUGUCCCGGCUUGCUCCCUGUGGCGGCCGUUGAGACGAGAUCUCCCCAUACCACAUAGCGGCAGCUCGGCUCCGUGCACGCGUAUGGGGAGAUCUCGCCUCAACAGCCGCUCCGUGUGAGCUUUACCUGUACGUAUGACGAUGCUUUUGGUCCUUUCCUGCAUCGCUUGUUGGUUCGGGCGCGCAAGUAGGCGGUGUUGAGAUGAUUCUGUCGCAGUUCACGUGAGUCCUACUAGCCGAGAUCGUCAUCGUGUGUGUUGGUGUUACUUGGUCCCUAGAGAUAUCAGGGCCAUUGUUAUUGUUUGCGUGAAGAUAGGUCCAAAAUUACUCCGUCAUGCUGUGUGUACUGGGGCACGUUUUCCUGUAGUACCUCUUUCCGAUCUGAUGUAAUCACUUUGUACUGUUGUUUCUAGGAGUUAGAGAUCCCUUUGUGUUA
Long non-coding RNA from Triticum aestivum (bread wheat), 493 nucleotides. RefSeq lists it as uncharacterized. The record is from RefSeq and is a predicted model, not a curated record. The transcript is spliced from 2 exons. Lineage: Eukaryota; Viridiplantae; Streptophyta; Magnoliopsida; Poales; Poaceae.